AAAAUUGUAGGAGAUAGGGUGUAGGAAACCCUAAUUUUGACCAUUUAACUUUCUCUAGUCAACCACCAUGAAUCAACUUGCAAACUUGAAAUUCUCUCGAUCUCUUAGACUCAUGGAGGAUCACAUAUGUAUAAGAUGAUGUAAUAUGAAGUAUUCCUUGAAACAUUUGAUCAAAUGUUAAAUAACCUUACUGGGGAGGUCACACAAGAUACCCAGAUGAAUUAGGGCUUCCAAGGCAAAC
RNAcentral lists this long non-coding RNA (241 nucleotides) under Lathyrus oleraceus (garden pea). Its description in RNAcentral is "Pisum sativum (pea) long non-coding RNA (PSAT_LNC018199)". The record is from RNAcentral. Lineage: Eukaryota; Viridiplantae; Streptophyta; Magnoliopsida; Fabales; Fabaceae.